CGGGGCGUAGCGCAGCCUGGUAGCGCGCUUGCAUGGGGUGCAAGAGGCCGCUGGUUCGAGUCCAGUCGCCCCGA
RNAcentral lists this transfer RNA (74 nucleotides) under Deltaproteobacteria bacterium CG_4_10_14_0_2_um_filter_43_8. Its description in RNAcentral is "tRNA-Pro". It matches the Rfam family "tRNA". From Rfam's summary of the family: Transfer RNA (tRNA) molecules are approximately 80 nucleotides in length. Their secondary structure includes four short double-helical elements and three loops (D, anti-codon, and T loops). The record is from RNAcentral. RNAcentral also lists the same sequence under 2 other names. Lineage: Bacteria; Deltaproteobacteria.